AGUAAAUAAUAAUAAUAAAAAAAUCCAGAGCUUCUCUGUCCCAUGAGGUGUUUUGAGAUAAAAUAGAUUUUUUGGGAAGUAGCAGUUAAGAAAAUUGCACCCUGGGUAUGAAGAGUCAUGUUCAUUCUUUUAAAGUCUCAUUCGAAUUCGUUGUAUACUAGGAACACUAAUGUGAAUGAAACUCCAAGCUAAGCUGUUUUAAAGAGUUUUAGAGUUUUAAGCAUAUGAGGGCUUAACAAAGAGCUUCACACAGAACUCCCCUGAGGGGUCCAUCCUCUGGGGACAAUGGUCCUUUCCUAAAGUCUCACAAUAACUUGGUGGAAAGUUCUUGACCCUUUUGCUCAGACUGAGUUGCCUUUUAAAAAAUUAUGCCUGAUGAAAAUAUGCCACUUUAUCUUAUAAUGGGUCGCUCUGUCCUACAGAUUCUGGAAUGUUAAAAUCCCUUCUUACUGGUGACCUCUUUCUUCCUUCCAUUUCCCUUUCUUCUGUCUUUCUCACUGUUUUUUCCCCACAUCUUUUAUUGUUUUUCAUCUCACUUCACUAUUAUUUUUUGGCUCUCUUUUUCUGAAACUAUGCUUCUCCUGAUCAUUUCUGUGCCUAGAUAGGGUCACUGCUUUGUCUUUGUCUUUGUGAGAGGAAAUCAGGGAAGCAUCUUCUCCCAUCUGUAUGUAAUGUAUUGCAAAUUUCCUGGUCAUCCCAGACCUCUGGCAUCUGACUUGCAGCAAUGAUUGAGGGCUUCCUGAUGAUCAAUAGAUGUGUAGGAGGUAUGGCAGUGGUUCUCAACAGGGCGAUUGUUAUCCUCCAGAGGACAUUUGCCAAUGCCCUACAGACAUUUUGGUUGUCUCAACUUGGUGGGGGGAGGCUAUUGGCAACUCAUGGGUAGAGGCCAGGGAUGCUGCUAAACGUCCUAGCAUGUGAAAGUUUCUUGUAUUGGUUCGAACCCUAAAAGCAUGCCAACAGACAACACAAAGCGGUGUGGAGCAACACACUGUUUUAAUGAGUGCCUGGGUGCAGGCGGGCUGAGACCUAAAAUGACAUCAGCCCCAAGUGAGGACGGGACAGGGGCUUUGUAGUCCUCUGUAAACAGGAAGUGUCCCAGUCUGACGUGACUGCUACGUAGUACCUGGACGGCCUCUUUCUCGGUCUUCAGGGGUAUGUGUCUUCCGGCCAGGGUAGGUGUCUUCCGGCCAGGGUAGGUGUCUUCUGGCCCGCUGUCUUCCUGCUUCUGCUAUCUUGCUGACGCGUGCUGCUGGCGCAAGUGGCCUUGAGCUUUGGGACUGGGCCUGAGAAGGGAGGAGUUACUCAUCCCUUCAAGCUUUCGGGCCCGGGGGAGAAUCUUUCAGCAUGCACAAAGUAACUCUCCUCUACCCCAACAAGGAAUGAUCUGACCUUAAAUGUCAAUAGUGCCUAAGAAGCCCUGCUAUGUAGUAUUGAGGCUCUAGUUCUCAAGUGAAACUGUCUUUAUGAAUACCUAACAUACAUAAAAAUAGGAGCAGGCCUAUUUGGAAAUUUCUCUAUUUGUGUCUCUUUUUAUAAGUAGCUGAAUCAAAUGUGGAAGUGAUUCAGAGGCAGCCACAUGGAGAGGGAAAGGCCCUGGUGAAGGAGCCUGGAGAACUCGGAUCCUGCUCCUUCUCUAUCACUCUGUCACUUACCAGUCAUCUGACCUUGGCUUAGUCCCUUCACCUCCCUUUGUUUCAGUUUCUUCACCUGAAAAAUGAGUGCUUGGAGUAAAUGCUCGCUGAGGUCCUUUUAAGUUCAGUGAUGUCUAAGAUAAAAUUUAUUUAGCUUUUUCUUUCUCUCAAAAAAUGAAUAACAGAAACAGAGAUAUGGUCCACACAGCAUAGUGGACUUUUGAGAGUACGGUACCUUCGACCACUUUUCUCUGUUGGAAAGUGUGUUACCAGUUUUGAAGAGACAGGAAGAAACACAUACACAAGCUUUGUUUGUUAUUAGUCAUGACAUCACAGCUGCUCACUGGGGUCAUGAAUAAAGAGCUGAGCUAAAGCAUUGUCUUGUGGGAGUAAGGCAAGGAGUGGCAAAAUGCCCAUUGUUUUCUUUUGCUAUGAAUCUGUUCUCUUGUGAUUUCAGGUGGAAAACCGACAGCAGGAAUCCAAUGACAUUCAGGAAGUAAACAUCCUGUUUAGGGCAGUUGCCUUCAGUUUUGCAGACCUGGGUGGAGGAGGGGAUGGGGACAGGGACUCACUAUUGGAUUUAACCAUGAACAGAAAAAUGCCCAAAUAUUGUUUGUUUUCCCGUUUUAGCUGUAAAGCAAAGAGCAACCCUUACAUUUUAUACAGGCUCCCAAGUACCAAGUAAAAUCUUUCCUGUAUUUCCAAAUAUGGAUUUAAACCUUUCAGAGGGUAAAAGAACUUUAAAGAAGGAAAAUGUGGAAAUACAGAUGAAGCAUUCAAGAUGAAAAAUUGGUUUCUGAUGUCUUGGACCACAACCGACUAGUGUUCUUCAUGCAUUUAAAAAAGUAUCAGAUUGUGCAGGGACUCCCACAUGCGGAGUACUUGUAAUUCCAGUCCAGAGUUCAGGCUUUGCACAAUGUCAGGACCCUCUAAAGUUAUCUGGCUAAGACAAGAAUGUGUUCAGUUGCAAAGGAUUCAACUUCCAAGGCUUCUGGAUGUUGGAAUCUUUGCCUCACGGUGAUUUCUGAUGGUAGGGCUAGACUGAUUAUAUAAGGUGUGCCACAUUUAUUUCUAGGAUUCCUAAAUUGGCCACUAUUUAUCAAUUAGGAAACUCACUUUCUAUGACAGAAGAAAACAUUUCUGCCUAUAUUCAUUCUACCCGUGCCCUUUUCCUGCUGACAUUUUUACACGAUAAAAUGCUAUCUUUUUAAAUAAUAAAAUCUGAACCAGAUGGAAAAAGUGAAUUGUCUCUAGGGCAGAUUUAUUAUAGUCAUUGAAUUCAGAAAUGAAGAGAAUGUAAAGAAGGGAUAUUAACCAUAUAGAGCUUUUACAACACGAAUCUUCAUUCUCUGAAUUUUAUAUGAGAUGGCCAUAUCUCCCUCUCUCUAUAUAUAACUUUAUUUAAAGAGAUUUAAAACUCCUCAAGAAAUGAUGCUUUAUUUCUUUCCUUUAAUGACUAUUAUAAGGUUGAAAUUGUUUCUGUUUUCUUUUCUUUAAUUGAAUCUCAUCAGUUUCCUUCUGGAGUGCCAAGUUUUGUUUUCUCAAACUCUCUACCAUAGUACUACUUCAAAUUGUUGAAAUCGUUCUGCUUUCAUUUCCACAUAUUCAGAAGAUACGUAUAUUGUUCUUGUAAUCUUUUCCCAGAAGUUGUAAACAGUGACACCAGAUUUCAGUCACUGGUAAAGGAUCAUGUAAAUAGUAGUAAUCCAAGACAUCGGAUACACUUUAAAGAGAAAGGAAAGGAGUUAAAGGAAGUUGGCUGUGUUACAU
Molecule: long non-coding RNA, 3401 nt
Filed under: Homo sapiens (human)
Lineage: Eukaryota; Metazoa; Chordata; Mammalia; Primates; Hominidae
Description: HSALNT0296939
Source: RNAcentral